AGCAUUGCUUAUUGAUAUGUUUGCAGUGGAAUCUGAAAGAAGCCAGCUGCAGAUAUUCCUUGCCAAGUUAAAUAAAUUUAUACUGUCAGUAUCUACUAUGAA
Small nucleolar RNA from Cebus imitator (Panamanian white-faced capuchin), 102 nucleotides. NCBI's taxonomy places the organism in Eukaryota, Metazoa, Chordata, Mammalia, Primates, Cebidae. The record is from Ensembl.